Molecule: long non-coding RNA, 1247 nt
Filed under: Sorghum bicolor (sorghum)
Lineage: Eukaryota; Viridiplantae; Streptophyta; Magnoliopsida; Poales; Poaceae
Description: long non-coding RNA (SBIC_LNC010305)
Source: RNAcentral
UGUUCCUAGUACUACCUCCAUGAUCCCACACUCCUAAUCAUAUGAGCUAAAAUGUUACAUAUUCAAUCUUUGAGAGAUAUAAAGAAAAAGACAUAUACAUAGAUAGAUUAUCUUUCCAUAAGGUUGAGCGAUCUGAUCUGACAAAUGUUAUAAGUGCUACACUCAUGAACUUAUCAUCCAUCAACUUUGUCUUGCUCACUAUGCUUAAGGUUAGAGAAGAACAAAUACACUUUUGGUUCUGUUGGUGUUUUCCACCAACAGGACCCAUGCGCUUGAUCUCUGCCUUUUCUCUAUGAGCAGGUACACUUUGAGCAAAACAUGGAGGAGUUUUAUAACUCUCAGACUCUACCAAGUGAAGGACCUGGAUCUACGAGCACAAACACACUGAGCAGGAUGCUGCCAACGCCGCACUUCGAACUGCUGGGCAAACGAAGAACAUGGGUGACACCGUGUCAAGAGGUGCAGACGUCAAGGUCCGCACCUGAAUCAAAUGACGCACCUGAAGAAUGAACACGAUGAGAAGUCUUGUUGAGAAGACUUAAAACAUUGAACCCUCGCCGAAAGGUAAAAUCGGUAGUUAUCCAUAUUUAUCCUUUCUGCAUUCCCUUUUCCUUAAAUUACUUACUUUCCUUAAAUAGCUUAUUAGUUAAUCAUGCUAUCUUGAAAAGAAAUUAAAAAUGUUUAAAAAUAGUAAGCCCCAUGUGAGUAUGCUCGUGCCUUAAAACCCAUAAGUACAUUCACUGUGGUGGCGUAAAAAUAAAAUAAAUAUAUUCCUGUUCUAUAGAAAUGAAAAUAAAAAAAUAAAUUUAUGAUCCUACCAAAGAAAGUAAUAUUUAUUAGAGGAAGCUCAACAUGAUAAAGGCAAAGAGAUUUUAUGCUAACACUUAACCAGUUCCACAAAGCUUUGUUGUCUAUUUGAGCUCCACAAAAUUCAAGGAUCAAAGAAGACUAGCAGACGGAGGACAUCCUAAUCGCUGUCAGGGUGCUGCCGACAUUCAAAUACACCUCCGUCACCUGCUAGCUACAUCAGAAGAAAUUACGUCAAAAUCCAGCUUGGGGGAGAGCACCCCCAUUUAUCCAGCUAAGUGUUUCUACUCAUGUUUAUACUUUACUCAAAUAAUAAAAAGAUGCAUAAUCAUAAAAACCCAAAUAAAGAUUUUAUACUUAUAUAUAUAUAUAUCUAUGCUUAGUUUGCUAAAUAAAUAAAUAAAUAAAGUUUGCUAUGAACCAUCAUGAUAAGCUCUCAC